Molecule: ribosomal RNA, 460 nt
Filed under: uncultured bacterium
Lineage: Bacteria
Description: partial 16S ribosomal RNA
Rfam family: Bacterial small subunit ribosomal RNA
Source: RNAcentral
CCUACGGGAGGCAGCAGUGAGGAAUAUUGGUCAAUGGACGAGAGUCUGAACCAGCCAAGUAGCGUGAAGGAUGACUGCCCUAUGGGUGGUAAACUUCUUUUAUAUGGGAAUAAAAUGUUCCACGUGUGGGAUUUUGUAUGUACCAUAUGAAUGAGGAUCGGCUAACUCCGUGCCAGCAGCCGCGGUAAUACGGAGGAUCCGAGCGUUAUCCGGAUUUAUUGGGUUUAAAGGGAGAGUAGGUGGAUUGUUAAGUCAGUUGUGAAAGUUUGCGGCUCAACCGUAAAAUUGCAGUUGAAACUGGCAGUCUUGAGUACAGUAGAGGUGGGCGGAAUUCGUGGUGUAGCGGUGAAAUGCUUAGAUAUCACGAAGAACUCCGAUUGCGAAGGCAGCUCACUGGACUGCAACUGACACUGAGGCUCGAAAGUGUGGGUAUCAAACAGGAUUAGAUACCCGGGUAGUC